RNAcentral lists this microRNA precursor (142 nucleotides) under Oryza sativa (Asian cultivated rice). RNAcentral describes it as "miR5502 stem-loop (osa-MIR5502)". The record is from miRBase by way of RNAcentral. Lineage: Eukaryota; Viridiplantae; Streptophyta; Magnoliopsida; Poales; Poaceae.
AGGAUGGUCUGUGCCGCGGUCCUUCUGUGUCUUGGCUUGAACAAGGGCUCGUGCCCAGGUCCCAGCCUCAAACGGCGCGGGUCGGGGCCUGCGUUACCCCGAUACGCUGAUACGGAUACGGAUACGCGAUACGGUGUUACCG